AUCUAUGGCCAUCCCACCUUGUAAGCACCUAAUCUUGUCUGAUCUCGGAAGCUAAGCUGGGUUGGGCCUGGUUGGUACUUGGAUG
This 85-nucleotide ribosomal RNA is filed under the name Microcebus murinus (gray mouse lemur). The record is from RNAcentral. Lineage: Eukaryota; Metazoa; Chordata; Mammalia; Primates; Cheirogaleidae.